UACGUAGGGGGCGAGCGUUAUCCGAAGUUACUGGGCGUAAAGCGCGCGUAGGCGGGCUAUUAAGUCGGAUGUGAAAUCUCCACGGCUCAACCGGGAAACUGCAUCCGAAACUGGUAGUCUUGAGGUAUGGAGAGGGAAGUGGAAUUCCAGGUGUAGCGGUGAAAUGCGUAGAUAUCUGGAGGAACACCCGUGGCGAAGGCGGCUUCCUGGCCAUAUCCUGACGUUGAGGUGCGAAAGCCAGGGGAGCGAACGGG
This 254-nucleotide ribosomal RNA is filed under the name uncultured bacterium. RNAcentral's name for it is "partial 16S ribosomal RNA". It matches the Rfam family "Bacterial small subunit ribosomal RNA", at positions 524 to 776 of the family's 1533-position model. The record is from RNAcentral.